Long non-coding RNA from Brassica napus (rape), 2085 nucleotides. RefSeq lists it as uncharacterized. The record is from RefSeq and is a predicted model, not a curated record. Lineage: Eukaryota; Viridiplantae; Streptophyta; Magnoliopsida; Brassicales; Brassicaceae. The transcript is spliced from 5 exons.
UAGGUUAUGAUUUAUAUUUAUUUUUAAGAUUUAGUAAUUACUGUUUUGGAUUUAGUAUAUAAAAGUUUGGGUUGACGUUGGAGUAAUCAUUAUCUCCAUUAUUAUUAAAUUAUUUUAAAAUUUCAUUAUUAUGAAGUAUACCAUUUAGAAUAUUCUAUUCUAUUUACUCAGUUUAUCUUCUUCUAUAAUGUUCUCUUUUUCCAAUCAUCACAUUCAUAGCAUGACCAACAUCGUAGUCAGAGUAAUUUUUGUUUGAAAGAUGAUCGCUUCUUUUGGAUUGAUGACGUCUGUUUCAUCCAUGAUCACUCUUACCGUAGUCACCAUCUCGUAGUCAACGCCACCGCCGGUGCGAUAGCCACGACCGCCGCAAUGACCAUUACCACUGCAAUGACCAUUACCACUGCAAUGAUCAUCAACUCCGUUUUCUUUCUAACCAUUCUCUUUCCAUUGUAAUUUUUUAAUCAACAUGACUAUAAAUUUAUUAAUCACAAUAUUUUUUCAUUGCUAGCAACCGGUUCAGAAAAAAGGACAAAACCGAAAAAAUAUUAUACAAAUGCUAGAAAUCUAAUAACAUCAAAAUUAUUGAUAUAUUCUUAAUUUAUUGCUGAAGUAUGCCUAGUUGGCAAAUAAGCCCAAAAGAAAAGCCAGUCACUAACAGUUUCACUUCUUUCUUCUUCAACUCCACUGCGCAGAUCCGAAGAGUUUUUCGUCUUUUUGAAUCUUUCUCUCUUUCUUCAAUUUGCUAACAGCAUCACGUAUGAUUUAAUCUCUCUCUCUCUCUCUCUUUAGGUUCGUACUACGCAAUGCUUGAUUCGUUAAUCGUUAUAUAUCGAUUUCUGUACAAUGUAGAUUGAGAAAUUAGAUUAUCAGUGGGAAUGUACCAUUCACAUUACGAAAGAUGGAUACUUUUCGUUGUAUCUAUCUAUACCAAUAAAUGAGGCUUUUCUCCCUUCUCCUUGUGCUAGGUCAGCAUGGAGAGAGGGGCAUUUGGUGACACCUGGCAGCUCUUCAUUCAUCAACUUUCUCCUUUCGUCGUUAACCGAAAAUAUCCUCUCUAUGGGCUUUCUUGCAAUCAUAUUAUUCAGACCCAAUAUCUAUAGGCUUUCAUCUUUUUUGUAAUAUCGGCAAACAAAGCUUUGUGUCGCUUCCUUCUCUUCAGAUGAUUCCUCCUCCGAAGAACUCUCUAUAAGGGCUCUGAUUUUCAUUCAUGUGCUCCCUAAAUCCGUGCGUUAACGUGAUUUACCGCAUUCGACCCACUCUCUAGCAUUGAAUCGAGACCUCUUCAUCUUCUGAGUGCUUGAUCGUUGGGAUGUCGACGCUGUGCUCUGUGAUCGAGAACGUUGCUUUGGUAAUGGCAAGCUUCCUCAUGUUCUUCACGAUAAAAAUUGGGAUAUAAUUUUGGAAUAGUCCAUUGUCUAUGGCUUCCAUCGGUUGGAACUGUAGACCUUAAAGAGGGCUCGAGCCGUUGUUCCACGAAAGGGAAAUGGUGGUGAUCCUGAUGGAAAUCCAAGUUCGCCAUCGAUCAAAACAGAAGACUGUCAGGAUGAGGAUGACUAUAAAGAUGAAGCAGAGUUUGACAUUUAUUGUAUCCAACGACGUCUGAGCAAAUGGUACGAGAGACAAAGUGCGAUGAUUCUUCUGCUGGCUUGCAUUCUCCUAUAAUUUCUUCUUUUUUUAAAAUUUUUUUUUUUGCAGGGAUUAGUAAAUGGGAGAAUCUGAGGUAGAUCAACAGAUAGAAUAACUUUUAUGAGACGCAUGGGAUAACGUUUUAGCAAGUUAAACAGAGAAAGUCAAAAGGUGCGGGCUUGGCAGAUGAGUUGGCAGCUUGAAGAAGAAGACAUUUGUUCUCUCGGGAUAUUUUCAGUAAAGGAGUUGUUGAACAUAAGUAGAAGUGCUGGAUGUCUUUGGGAAUUACGAUUGAGGAUUGUAAUCAUAAACAAAGCAAAACUUAGGUCUUUUGAGGCGAGAGUUCAACAGAUCUUCAAGUGAUGGAUUUGUAAAUUUUUUAUUCAGAUUCAGUUAUUCAGUGUACGCCUGUACCAUUUUGUAAGUCAUCUUUUUAAAUUGAAUAACAAGUUACAGAGA